RNA transcript from Musa acuminata AAA Group (dessert banana), 9872 nucleotides. It is a transcript of the gene named DNA-directed RNA polymerase subunit beta-like, with no coding region annotated. The record is from RefSeq and is a predicted model, not a curated record. The transcript has a single exon. Lineage: Eukaryota; Viridiplantae; Streptophyta; Magnoliopsida; Zingiberales; Musaceae.
GUUUCACUUUUUAACUAUAACUCGUAAUAAUCAGAAGUCAUUAUAAUGGUGGUUACCCUUUUCUUUUUAGAAAUAAAAAGAAAUCUCUAUUCUCCACCGAAAAACAAAGACUCAAACUUUAGUUUAGUGGAAAAAGCCCCUUAUCGGAUUUGAACCGAUGACUUACGCCUUACCAUGGCGUUACUCUACCACUGAGUUAAAAGGGCUUGUUUUAUUCGAUUCAUGAAUUAUAGCCUUUUUCCAUUAUGAGUCUACUGCAUAAUAUAUGUACAUGAUAUAUACAUAUAUGCACAUAAUAUAUACAUAGUUCAUUUAGGAGCAAUCAAUUUGAUUUACCCCCCAAAAGUAAAAAGUGGGCAAAUUUUUUAUUUUUUUUUUUGAUAAAAAUAAUGCAGUGAAUUGUUUCAAGACCGACCCCGCUUGUUUACCUUUACUGACUCAUCAAAACAAGAUUCACUUGAUUGAUACAUGUACCAAUCUGACAUCGACAUAGAUUCGAUAGAUUUUCUUGAAUCAUGUGAUGAGGGUAUUCGUACCCUGAACCGAAUUCUUAUAAAAAAAUAAAAAAGAAAAAAGGAAAAUUUCUAUCGUUUUUUAAUUUUCUGACUUAAUGUGAGAUAGUGAUAGGCAUAUUUUAUCUGAACAAUGAACGAAGCAAUGAGUUAAGUUAAAAUUAAUGAGUUAAAAUUGAAGAAAAGAAAUUAAGUGGGGUUCUACCCCCUUUUCUGUUCUGUCGGACCAAUCACUGCCUGAACUGACGGAGUCCUGUACCUCCUUUCGCUAUAUAAAAUAGUAUGGGAUGGUUCAUUCAUGAACCAUCAAAUCCAAAACAAAAUUCUAUGGAAUCAUAACAUAAAAGUAGAAAAGAGUGUUCAGAUCUAGUCAUAUCAUUAGAUUAUAUUGACAAUUCCAAAAAACUACUCAUACUAUCAUCAUAGUAUGAUGACAGUUGGGCGGAUAUGCCCCUAUCGUCUAGUGGUUCAGGACAUCUCUCUUUCAAGGAGGCAGCGGGGAUUCGACUUCCCCUGGGGGUACUACGAAAGGAAGUUGAUCAUGGAUUAUCAAUAAGCCUAGAAGGAAUUCUUCCUGGGUCGAUGCCCGAGCGGUUAAUGGGGACGGACUGUAAAUUCGUUGGCGAUAUGUCUACGCUGGUUCAAAUCCAGCUCGGCCCAAAAAUUCGCCGCUCCAUGAAUAUGAUAUAACCAAUGAUAUAACCAAUUUGUCCCCCAGAAACAAAAAUACCUGAUCCGUAAAAGAGAAAGAGUCCAUUUUUGUUUCUCUAUCCAUGUUUUUCUCAUUCGUUCUGAUCUUUUCUUUCUAACGAUCUAGAUUCAUAAUACUUAAUCAAAGCAAAGAUUAUGAAAGGAAAAAUCGUUUUUUCUCAAUGAAAGGUUGAUUAUCUAUUUUUGGCAAUAAAAUAAAAUAAACACAGGUUACUAGUAAUCCGUGUCACUUUCACUAUAGUCCAUAUCUAUGUGUUCUAUGUGUAUAUGAUAUCAGUUAGUAUAUCAUUCGUGUCUCUGUUACAACGCGACGAAGAAAAUGUUUUUCUGAAACCAUUAAGAAUAUGUAUACCAUACACCUCGCUGGGAUUGUAGUUCAAUUGGUCAGAGCACCGCCCUGUCAAGGCGGAAGCUGCGGGUUCGAGCCCCGUCAGUCCCGAACUAGGAUCCGACCGAUGAAUGGAGAAAUGAAUUUAUCUAUUUUCCGUGAAAAAGGAGACAGGGGGCAAGAUCUAAUCCCCAGUGGAGAUCCUUAUUUCUUUUGUUUUUCAUUUCGCAUUUAUCAUCAGACAAAUACAGGAAUUUCCAUUUCUUCCACUAGUGCCGAGUGAUAAGGGAGAGACAUAACAUAUAUAGAUUCGUACAAUCGGUGGUAUUCCUAUAUUUAGUAUUUUAAGAGAUACUCGUCUGACUUUCUUUUUCGAUUUUCUUGAUAAAUGAAAUAGAAUAGAGUGCUCCUAUUUUUACCGAGAGUACAUACGCAAAUUGUAUUCGUUUAUUGUACAAUACAUAAUGAACUUAACAUAAUUACCUCGACAGAGUACUUGUCAGGUUAAACGACAACCCUUUUUAGCUUCGACUUUGUUUGUGUAUCCUCAAUGACUAAUUGGAAACAAUCUAUCUCAUUCUCAUUUAAAUUGCACACUGAAUUUUUGAUGUAUGCCUUCCAGUCCCAAUCGAAGAAAGAGAUACUAAUCAAAUAAAAGAAAAGACCAAGCAACGUUCCUUUUUAUUAAAUUUGUUGGAAUUAUAUUAGAUCUUUUAUACUUAACCCGUCCUUUUUCCAUCUCACUUCUACUCUUUGGAUCUGUGUGUGAUUCAUAGAAUACCAGUCAUAUAAUACCUCAUAAUUGUAUGUACAUAAUUGUAUGUAUAAGUAUAACGAAGGAGGAGUAUAUAAGGAAGACGGUAGGGUUAUUUAUAGAAAAGAAAAAGUGGAAAAGGAUGAAAAUUCAAUGGGAUUCUUUAUUGGAUCAGGAAUCCCAUUUCAGAUUUAGUAUGGAUAAAGGAUCUUCCUAUGUUAUACUAUUCAAUUCUCGACGAUGAAUCGAUUUGAUAGAUCAGAUAUUGUUAUUCAUAAUAUUGAUCCGAUUCAGUAUCAUCAGGAUGCAAUUCAUCCCAUUGAAUUUACAGGAAUCAAAUUUCUCAUCUCUAUGGGAUUAGAUCCCGAGUUAUUGCGAAGUAAAAAAACAAUGAGAUUAUGGAAGUAAAUAUUCUCGCAUUUAUUGCUACUGCACUGUUCAUUCUAGUUCCUACUGCCUUUUUACUUAUCAUCUACGUAAAAACAGUCAGUCAAAAUGAUUAAUUUGACUGAAACUUGAUUUAUUAGUUCUUAUCAAUGAUUGAAUAAAUGAAAGAAACGGAUUCAAACUCCAAGUCUUAAAUGAAAUGAUCUGUCUGGAAUCAUAAGUAUCUGAGAUAAUAAGUAUCUGAGAUAGUAGUAUCUGAGCCGAGAUAGUAUGGUAUAGUAUUUAUUAUCCUAUUAAUGAUUUUCAUAGAAAGUUGUACUGUAUACAGAUAUAGGCUUUUAUAUAGAGAAAGCCUAUAUCUAGGUCAAUAUACAAUAUGUAUGUACAUAGAUUAGAUGUAUAUCUAAAUAGUACAUCAAAAUAACAGUCCAAUUCUAUUAUUUUUUUGGCUACAUUUACUUGUGUGGAUUUCGAUCAAUUCAAAAUAAUUGAAGACCAACUCUUCUAAUUCCUGGCUUUCUUAGAAUUUAUAUAUAUAUAGGUAUAGGUCCCGAGAUCUAUCAAAGGAAUCAAUGGAGCAAGACAAAAAGAGUAUGGGCAUAUUCUACUAUAAAUUAAAUAAAAAAAAAGAUAAAAGAAAACGAAACCAAAGAAAAGAAUCUUUUUCUUUUUUUAGAUUUCCCAUCUCAAGAAGUCAUUGCUUGAUCUAUUAACAGAUGAUCUGCGGAGUUCUAUUCCAUGAUAACUUCUUCAGAUUUGAAAAAGAAGUAGAUUAAUAGAGUAGACCUUCCCAAUUUUUUAUGCUUAAACAUGACAUGAGAUGAGUCAAAAAAAGCAUAAAAAAAUCUCUAGGAGUCUAAAAAAAAGGUGAAAUGCGCGAUAUGUGGAUCGCUCAACGGAAGAAAGAUCUAAUCUUAUUAUGUGUAGAACCUCUUUGGACAACAACUAGUCAUUUCCAAUAGAAAGUAUGUAUUGUCGUAAUCUAAUAUAAUUAGAAUAGCGGAACGGCUUUCUCUUCUCUUAGAACAGUAAAAGUAAAGAAAGAGGGAAACAAAUAAAGAAAAAAAGAAAAAACCAAUUUCAGAUUUUUUCUUUUUGUAAUAUCCAUAAUUCUGGUAAGAGCUGGUUUAUCAAAAUAGAAUAUUUAGGAAGAAUUCGGUUGGAAAAAAUUUCCUAUCAUGCGUAGAUUUAGGUUUCGAAAUACAACUAUAGUAAUCAUUCAUUCUUUGAUCGAAUGGUUAUUAUUCAUUAUUGUAUUUUCUUAUUCAUUACUGUAUUUCAGUAUAAUUUUGAAACAGAGACAUUCUUUUUUUAAAGCUUUGCAAAACGAUCAAUUAAACAAUUGAUAGAAUUCAAUUACUCAAUCGAUUACUCGAUUAGUAGUACCCCUAGAGUCCACUCCUUCCCCAUACUACGAGUGAGAGGGAAAAUGUAAAGACUACCAUUAAAGCAGCCCAAGCGAGACUUACUAUAUCCAUAUAAAUUAUGUCUCCUAUCUCUAUGAAGGAAUUAUUCCAUUAUUGAUCAAUAAUCAUAGUGGAAUCAAUGGCGCAGAGUCAAAAUGGAAUUCUGACUUAACUUAAGGCUAUUGAUGAACCAAUCCAAUGAAUCUACUCGUAACAAGAUUAUAAGAUUUCUGGUAGAAUCGGGAAGCAUUAAGCAUAAAUACAAUACACACACCUUUUCUCGGAAAAUGAAAUAACAAAGGAAUACUCCUAUCCCAAUGGAACAUGUAGGAGUACUAAGACCUAUUGUUUGUUACCCUUUUUCAUAAGCAAAAGACAUCAAAAUAUACCAUCAAGAUAGAUAACUAUCUAUCAGAUACCUCUAUUUCCUAUUUGAUCUAAGCCUUACUGUUUUUUUUGUGAAAGAAUGGGGAGACACCAUCACCAGUAUUACAUACAUUCUUUCUUUUUUUCGUAAUCCCCCUAUCUUACACGGGCAAAGAAAUUCCUACACGGGCAAAGAAAUUUUUUUGUUUCUUCAACUUUUACUUUUACUCUUUACUCAAUAAGAGCCGACCAACUAUCCUGAUUGAAUGUUUGAGUACUCAGAGACUCUCGUGAGUCUGGAUACAAAGUAUCUUCAGUCCUUUCCACAACUUCUAAAUUGAUUUCCCAUCAGCCUAUCCAAUCGAAUUCCAGACAGAGUCAGUAGACACAACGGUGGUAGUGUAAAAUAAUUAGGAAUUCUUGAUAGUCUUUCGUACAAUCUCUUCUUCAAUCCUAGUAGCAAAAAUGGAGUGUCCUUUAGGAACCUUUGGAUACCAAGAUUUCCGACCUCUUACUUUCGUAGUUUUGAAUCCCAGAAUUUACUUUCACUAUUUAUUUAUUCUACUUAUAAAAUAAAUGUCCGAACCAAUCAUAAUCAUAUUAAAAUCAUAAUCAUAUUAAUAAGUAAGGCUUACUUCAUCCCUAUUUGUACCGGUUUGGGCCACACCCAAAGCCCGGAUUUUUAGAAAAAAAUUGACUUUCUUUAAAAAAAUUGACUUUCUUUAUAGAACUACAGAUUCUAAAAAUAAAGUAUCGAUAGGCUUAUCCUUUUGCCUCUCCUUCUCCGGGGACAGAAUUCGUCGAGUUAAAUCAGCAGAAUAAGAAAUCCCAAGUUUUUUGUUGAUCAGGCGACACCCAGAUUUGAACUGGGGAUAAAGGAUUUGCAGUCCCCCGCCUUACCACUUGGCCAUGUCGCCAAACCAAAUUCGAUCCAAAUAAGAUAAAAAAUAGAUUUCUGGUCAAAGACUGAAAAAUUCAGGGCAAAUUGGAACCAUUAACUAUUUGUUUUGUUGUUUUGAAUUAGCGAAAGGUUCUUCAAUUUGUAUCUCAAAUUGUUGCGUUUCCUUAAUGGCAUAACAAAAUCAAAUUGAUUUAUGACUAAUUCAGUAUCAAUUAUUUUCAAUAAUCAAUCUUUUUCAAUUUCAAUUAUAACAAUAUAAAUUAUAACAAUAUAUAUGUGUAUAUGUAAACCUCAAAACAGAAAUUGUUACACAGAUACCGCUCUUAUGUACAUAUCCCAUAUCCCUAUAGAGAAUCGUCGUGCCUUCUUUUUUCAUUUUCUAUAUGCAAUAGAAAAAAUAGGAAUUAUGAUAUAGUGCGACCUGACUUCUGUUGCCACAAGUGAAAUUACGAUAAAAGAUGUGAUAUGCGGACAGGUAGAUAGCUAUAUUGGCAUGCACUUAAUAAAUAUUACUCCUAUUACGCAAUUCAAUCAUAUUCUAUAUAUUCUACUAGCAAAAAAAUAAUUCGAAAUUUUUUUUGAACAUGAAAUGAAACUCAAAUAAAAUUAAGUAUGCUAAAAAGGGAAACUCUAUAUUGUUCCUGUUGUACCUGUCGCAAAUUCGAACUUGCGUCGAAAAUGCUCUUCAUUCCUCUGUCUCAUUUCCGUUCAUACGUAUGAAAUACAUAUAUGGUAUAUGGAGUUGGCUAAAAUUUCAUGUGAUUCAGUAAACAGAAUAUACAUUCCAUCAUUGCUAGAUCGAUCCGUAUGGUUCGAUAAAUAGUGAGCUAAUAAUGGGAUUUUUCAAUAAACAGGAAACUUAAGAUUAAGAUGCUCCGGAAUGAUGGAAAUGAGGGAAUGUCCACAAUACCUGGAUUUAGUCAGAUCCAAUUUGAGGGAUUUUGUAGGUUCAUUAAUGAGGGCUUGACGGAAGAAUUUCAUAAGUUUCCAAAAAUUGAAGAUACAGAUCAAGAAAUUGAAUUUAAAUUAUUUGUGGAAAGAUAUCAAUUGGUAGAACCCUUGAUAAACGAAAGAGAUGCUGUGUAUGAAUCACUCACAUAUUCUUCUGAAUUAUAUGUACCCGCGGGAUUAAUUUGGAAAACCGGUAGAGAUAUGCAAGAACAAACCGUUUUUAUUGGAAACAUUCCCCUAAUGAAUUCCCUGGGAACCUUUAUAGUAAAUGGAAUAUACAGAAUUGUGAUCAAUCAAAUAUUGCAAAGUCCUGGUAUUUACUACCGUUCAGAAUUGGACCAUAACGGAAUUUCUGUCUAUACCAGCACAAUAAUAUCAGAUUGGGGAGGAAGAUCGGAAUUAGAAAUUGAUAGAAAAGCAAGGAUAUGGGCCCGUGUAAGUAGGAAACAAAAAAUAUCUAUUCUAAUUCUAUCAUCAGCUAUGGGUUCGAAUCUAAGAGAAAUUCUAGAUAAUGUUUGUUACCCUGAAAUUUUCUUGUCUUUCCCGAAUGAUAAGGAGAAAAAAAAGAUUGGGUCAAAAGAAAAUGCUAUUUUGGAAUUUUAUCAACAAUUUGCUUGUGUAGGCGGGGAUCCGGUAUUUUCUGAGUCUUUAUGUAAAGAAUUACAAAAGAAAUUUUUUCAACAAAGAUGUGAAUUAGGAAGGAUUGGUCGACGAAAUAUGAACCGGAGACUGAAUCUUGAUAUACCUCAGAACAAUACAUUUUUAUUACCACGAGAUGUAUUGGCUGCUGCGGAUCAUUUGAUCGGAAUUAAAUUUGGAAUGGGUACACUUGACGAUAUGAAUCACUUGAAAAAUAAACGGAUUCGUUCUAUAGCGGAUCUGUUACAGGAUCAAUUCGGACUGGCUCUUGUUCGUUUAGAAAAUGCGGUUCGAGGAACUAUAUGUGGAGCAAUUCGGCAUAAAUUGAUACCGACUCCUCAAAAUUUGGUAACUUCAACUUCAUUAACAACCACUUAUGAAUCGUUUUUUGGCCUACAUCCUUUAUCUCAAGUUUUGGAUCGAACUAAUCCAUUGACACAAAUCGUUCAUGGGCGAAAAUUGAGUUAUUUGGGUCCUGGAGGAUUGACGGGGCGAACUGCUAGUUUUCGGAUACGAGAUAUUCAUCCUAGCCACUAUGGACGUAUUUGUCCAAUUGACACGUCCGAAGGAAUCAAUGUUGGACUUAUUGGAUCCUUAGCCAUUCAUGUGAGGAUUGGCCAUUGGGGAUCUAUAGAGAGUCCAUUUUAUGAAAUAUCUGAAAGAUCAAAAGAGGCACAGAUAGUUUAUUUAUCACCAAAUAGAGAUGAAUAUUCAUAUGGUAGCAGCGGGAAAUUCUUUGGCCUUGAAUCGGGGUAUUCAGGAAGAACAGGUUGUUCCAGCCCGAUACCGUCAAGAGUUCCUGACUAUUGCAUGGGAACAGAUUCAUCUUAGAAGUAUUUUUCCCUUCCAAUAUUUUUCUAUUGGAGCUUCCCUCAUUCCUUUUAUCGAGCAUAAUGAUGCGAAUCGGGCUUUAAUGAGUUCUAAUAUGCAGCGCCAAGCAGUUCCGCUUUCUCAGUCCGAGAGGUGCAUUGUUGGAACUGGACUGGAACGCCAAACGGCUCUGGAUUCGGGGGUUUCCGCUAUAGCCGAACACGAGGGAAAGAUCAUUUAUACUGACCCUCACAAGAUCAUUUUAUCAAGUAAUGGGGACACUACUAUAAGUAUAAGUAUUCCAUUAGUUAUCUAUCAACGUUCCAACAAAAAUACUUGUAUGCAUCAAAAACCUCAGGUUCCGCGGGGUAAAUGCAUUAAAAAAGGACAAAUUUUAGCGGACGGUGGCGGCUACAGUUGGGGGGGAACUUGCUUUAGGAAAAAACGUAUUAGUAGCUUAUAUGCCAUGGGAGGGUUACAAUUCUGAAGACGCAGUACUAAUUAGCGAACGUCUGGUAUAUGAAGAUAUUUAUACUUCUUUUCACAUCCGGAAAUAUGAAAUUCAGACUCAUGUGACAAGCCAAGGACCUGAAAGAAUCACUAAGGAAAUACCACAUCUAGAGGCUCAUUUACUCCGCAAUUUAGACAGAAAUGGAGUUGUGAUGCUGGGAUCUUGGGUAGAAACAGGUGAUAUUUUAGUAGGUAAAUUAACACCUCAGACAGCAAACGAAUCGUCGUAUGCUCCAGAGGAUAGAUUAUUACGAGCCAUACUUGGAAUUCAGGUAUCCACUGCAAAAGAAACUUCUCUAAAACUACCUAUAGGCGGAAGAGGUCGCGUUAUUGAUGUGAGAUGGAUCCGGAAAAAGGGGGGUUCCUGUUAUAAUUCAGAAAUGAUUCGUGUAUAUAUUUCACAGAAACGUGAAAUCAAAGUAGGUGAUAAAGUAGCUGGAAGACAUGGGAAUAAGGGUAUCAUUUCAAAAAUUUUGCCUAGACAAGAUAUGCCCUAUUUGCAAGAUGGAACACCUGUUGAUAUGGUCUUCAACCCAUUAGGAGUACCAUCACGAAUGAAUGUGGGACAGAUAUUUGAAUGCUCGCUCGGGUUAGCGGGGGAUCUGCUAAAGAGACAUUAUAGAAUAGCACCUUUUGAUGAGAGAUAUGAGCAAGAGGCUUCGAGAAAACUAGUGUUUUCCGAAUUAUAUGAAGCCAGUAAGCAAACAAAAAAUCCAUGGGUAUUUGAACCCGAAUAUCCGGGAAAAAGCAGAAUAUUUGAUGGAAGAACAGGAAAUCCUUUUGAACAACCUGUUCUAAUAGGAAAGUCCUAUAUUUUAAAAUUAAUUCAUCAAGUUGAUGAUAAAAUCCAUGGACGUUCUAGUGGACAUUACGCACUUGUUACACAACAACCCCUUAGAGGAAGGGCGAAGCAAGGGGGACAACGAGUAGGGGAAAUGGAAGUUUGGGCUCUAGAGGGAUUUGGUGUUGCUCAUAUUUUACAAGAGAUGCUUACUUAUAAAUCUGAUCAUAUUAGAGCUCGUCAAGAAGUACUUGGUGCUACGAUCAUUGGAGGAAGAGUAUCUAACCCAGAAGAUGCUCCAGAAUCUUUUCGAUUGCUCGUUCGAGAACUACGAUCUUUAGCUCUAGAACUGAAUCAUUUCCUUGUAUCUGAGAAGAACUUCCAGAUUAAUAGGAAGGAAGCUUGAUCUGAAUGAAUCAGAAUUUCUAUUCUAUGAUUGACCGGUAUAAACAUCAACAACUUCGAAUUGGACUAGUUUCUCCUCAACAAAUAAAGGCUUGGGCCAACAAAAUUUUACCUAAUGGAGAGAUAGUUGGAGAGGUGACAAAGCCCUAUACGUUUCAUUAUAAGACCAAUAAACCAGAAAAAGAUGGAUUGUUUUGUGAAAGAAUCUCUGGGCCCAUAAAAAGUGGAAUUUGUGCUUGUGGAAAUUAUCGAGUGAUUGGAGCUGAAAAAGAAGACCCGAAAUUUUGUGAACAAUGCGGGGUGGAAUUUGUUGAUUCUCGGAUACGAAGAUAUCAAAUGGGAUACAUCAAACUCGCAUGUCCAGUGACUCAUGUGUGGUAUUUGAAACGUCUUCCUAGUUAUAUCGCGAAU